GACGAGCCUCACGAACGUUAUUCGGAAUUACUGGGCUUAAAGGGUGCGUAGGCGGCGCGGAAAGUAGGGUGUGAAAUCCCUCGGCUCAACCGAGGAACUGCGCUCUAAACUACCGUGCUCGAGGGAGAUAGAGGUAAGCGGAACUUAGGGUGGAGCGGUGAAAUGCGUUGAUAUCCUAAGGAACACCGGUGGCGAAAGCGGCUCACUGGAUCUCUUCUGACGCUGAGGCACGAAAGCUAGGGUAGCGAACGGG
This 253-nucleotide ribosomal RNA is filed under the name uncultured bacterium. RNAcentral describes it as "partial 16S ribosomal RNA". It matches the Rfam family "Bacterial small subunit ribosomal RNA", at positions 524 to 776 of the family's 1533-position model. The record is from RNAcentral.